This 253-nucleotide ribosomal RNA is filed under the name uncultured bacterium. RNAcentral describes it as "partial 16S ribosomal RNA". It matches the Rfam family "Bacterial small subunit ribosomal RNA", at positions 524 to 776 of the family's 1533-position model. The record is from RNAcentral.
UACAGAGGGUGCAAGCGUUAAUCGGAAUUACUGGGCGUAAAGGGCGUGUAGGUGGUUGUAUAAGUUGGCUGUGAAAGCCCCGGGCUUAACCUGGGAGGGUCAGCCAAGACUGUGCAACUAGAGUACGGUAGAGGGUAGUGGAAUUUCCGGUGUAGCGGUGAAAUGCGUAGAUAUCGGAAGGAACACCAGUGGCGAAGGCGACUACCUGGACUGAUACUGACACUGAGGCGCGAAAGCGUGGGUAGCGAACAGG